AAUUCCGANAACAACGAGACCUUAACCUACGCUAAAUAAGUCCGGCCGGCUUUGCUGGUCGCAGACUUCUUAGAGGGACUGUCAGCGUCUAGCUGACGGAAGGUUUGAGGCAAUAACAGGUCUGUGAUGCCCUUAGAUGUUCUGGCCGCACGCGCGCUACACUGACAGAGCCAGCGAGGUUCCACCUUGGCCGGAAGGUCUGGGUAAUCUUGUGAAACUUUGUCGUGCUGGGGAUAGGGCAUUGCAAUC
This 249-nucleotide ribosomal RNA is filed under the name uncultured fungus. RNAcentral's name for it is "partial small subunit ribosomal RNA". It matches the Rfam family "Eukaryotic small subunit ribosomal RNA", at positions 1321 to 1591 of the family's 1831-position model. The record is from RNAcentral. Lineage: Eukaryota; Fungi.